UUUGUCCUCCAGUGUCUGAGGACAUGGAGAACCCAUCUCCUCAUUUUCCCCCUUGUGGUUGGAUGGGAUCAUGCACCCAGUUCUCGUUGAGACCAAGAUGCUGAGAGACAAAGCAAAUCCGUGGGAUGCCGAGGGCACUUGGAUAACUUCCGCUUGGGAGAGAAGCCCAAACUCCACGUCCUGGAGACCUGAAGUGUGGCUGCCAGUGGACACCCAGCUGAGGGAUGAGUAGGUGGGCCUCAGUGGUGGCUGUGGGGUCCUUGGACACUGCUCACCACUGGCCUCCAGAAGCACUGGAGGCUUUGGGGACCUGCUAGUCCUCCAGCCCUAAAUGCGGCCCUGGAAUGAUGAAGGGAAGUUUGCCAUCUCCAUCCUCCUCAAGCUGCCUGUGCACCCCAGUAGCACCCACCCUCUCUGUGCUCCCGUCUGCACCCCAUGUCCUGGCGCCUGCUUUGUGUUGCACCGGAUGACAGGAACCAGUGCCCUGACUGUGACUUGCUUCUCCCCUCAGGGACAUACAAGCACUUUCACAGCAAGCCUACUUUUCAGCCCUUCUGCAGGCAGGGCCUCCUGCAGGGAUGCUGGAUGCAGAGGCAGGACGAGGAUGCAGGGCCUGGGUCCGGGUGCGGCUCCUCUCACACCUGGUAC
This 648-nucleotide long non-coding RNA is filed under the name Pongo abelii (Sumatran orangutan). RNAcentral's name for it is "lincRNA". Lineage: Eukaryota; Metazoa; Chordata; Mammalia; Primates; Hominidae. The record is from RNAcentral.